Molecule: long non-coding RNA, 673 nt
Organism: Setaria italica (foxtail millet)
Lineage: Eukaryota; Viridiplantae; Streptophyta; Magnoliopsida; Poales; Poaceae
Exons: 3
Source: RefSeq, a predicted model, not a curated record
GAGAUAUAUUAGUCUUAAUACCGUUUGCUGAGUCAUGUUAUAGAUGGGUGGCCCAAGAUGGAAGAUCAAACCAGCAAUGCAUUUCUCGAUCUGUAUAUUGGAGGGGAGAAUUUGUUAAAUGCAGUUGAUAAGGUUUCAAGAAGAUGCCCGUGAUACAAUGCCCCAACUCUUGGGGAUGGAAGCAACGGGGAAUCCCAAGAUCCGUUUGGACUUUCAACACUUGAAACAGUACGAUCUAAUGCCAUCACAUCACCUGGGGUAGGCAGAUUUUGUUGUUGAUAAUUUAGGAAGACUUGAAGAUGUAUCAUGUAUGGCUGGACUGCACAGAGAGUCAAUGCAGUGAAGGUCUGAUCGGCACUAAAGAAGAGAGGGGGUCAUCGGCUGUUGGCCCGGCUGGACGUUUUGGAGUUGGCAGAUGACGUCUGGGAGCUGUGUGCUGUGCUGUGCUCCACGUUUUUCUUCUGUUGUUUGUUUUGCUUGUUUUCAGUUUGGGGAGUCUGGCCCGGCUGGAUGACGUGUGGAUGGAUGGAUACCUUGACGCGGAUGACAUUAGAGCCUUGUCAAUGAUGCCGCAUGGAAUUAGACACAUUGUAAUUCCUUUCUGUCGGCUGGCCGCUGGAGGGUUGGAGAGAGUGUUUCAAAUCUGAGAUUUUGACUUUUGAGGUGUAAUGAA